GAUAAAAGGUACUCCGGGGAUAACAGGCUGAUACCGCCCAAGAGUUCAUAUCGACGGCGGUGUUUGGCACCUCGAUGUCGGCUCAUCACAUCCUGGGGCUGAAGUAGGUCCCAAGGGUACGGCUGUUCGCCGUUUAAAGUGGUACGCGAGCUGGGUUUAGAACGUCGUGAGACAGUACGGUCCCUAUCUGCCGUGGGCGUUGGAAGAUUGAAAGGGGCUGCUCCUAGUACGAGAGGACCGGAGUGGACGCACCACUGGUGUUCGGGUUGUCAUGCCAAUGGCAUUGCCCGGUAGCUAAGUGCGGAAAAGAUAACCGCUGAAAGCAUCUAAGCGGGAAACUUGCCUUGAGAUGAGUCUUCCCUGACUCUUUAAGGGUCCUAAAGGAACGUUUAAGACUAAGACGUUGAUAGGUUGGGUGUGUAAGCAUAGCGAUAUGUUGAUCUAACCAAUACUAAUGAACCGUGAGGCUUAACCUG
Molecule: ribosomal RNA, 476 nt
Filed under: Enterobacteriaceae bacterium
Lineage: Bacteria; Pseudomonadati; Pseudomonadota; Gammaproteobacteria; Enterobacterales; Enterobacteriaceae
Description: partial 23S ribosomal RNA
Rfam family: Bacterial large subunit ribosomal RNA
Source: RNAcentral